RNAcentral lists this ribosomal RNA (687 nucleotides) under Bacillaceae bacterium SC8s3. RNAcentral describes it as "bacterial SSU rRNA". It matches the Rfam family "Bacterial small subunit ribosomal RNA", at positions 79 to 750 of the family's 1533-position model. Lineage: Bacteria; Bacillati; Bacillota; Bacilli; Caryophanales; Bacillaceae. The record is from RNAcentral.
CUUGCUUCUUCUGAUUUAGCGGCGGACGGGUGAGUAACACGUGGGCAACCUGCCCUGUAGAUUGGGAUAACUCCGGGAAACCGGGGCUAAUACCGAAUAAUCCAUUUCCUCACAUGAGGAGAUGUUAAAAGACGGUCUCGGCUGUCACUACAGGAUGGGCCCGCGGCGCAUUAGCUAGUUGGUGGGGUAAUGGCUCACCAAGGCGACGAUGCGUAGCCGACCUGAGAGGGUGAUCGGCCACACUGGGACUGAGACACGGCCCAGACUCCUACGGGAGGCAGCAGUAGGGAAUCUUCCACAAUGGACGAAAGUCUGAUGGAGCAACGCCGCGUGAGUGAAGAAGGUUUUCGGAUCGUAAAACUCUGUUGUGAGGGAAGAACAAGUACGAGAGUAACUGCUCGUACCUUGACGGUACCUCAUUAGAAAGCCACGGCUAACUACGUGCCAGCAGCCGCGGUAAUACGUAGGUGGCAAGCGUUGUCCGGAAUUAUUGGGCGUAAAGCGCGCGCAGGCGGUCCUUUAAGUCUGAUGUGAAAGCCCACGGCUCAACCGUGGAAGGUCAUUGGAAACUGGGGGACUUGAGUGCAGAAGAGGAAAGUGGAAUUCCAAGUGUAGCGGUGAAAUGCGUAGAGAUUUGGAGGAACACCAGUGGCGAAGGCGACUUUCUGGUCUGUAACUGACGCUGAG